RNAcentral lists this ribosomal RNA (253 nucleotides) under uncultured bacterium. Its description in RNAcentral is "partial 16S ribosomal RNA". It matches the Rfam family "Bacterial small subunit ribosomal RNA", at positions 558 to 810 of the family's 1533-position model. The record is from RNAcentral.
GCGUAAGCGUCGCGUAGGCGGCUUUGUAAGUCAGAGGUGAAAUCCUGGAGCUCAACUCCAGAACUGCCUUUGAUACUGCAUCGCUUGAAUCCCGGAGAGGUGAGUGGAAUUCCCCGUGUAACGGUGAAAUUCCUAUAUAUUCGGAAGAACACCUAUGGCGAAGGCCGCUCACUGGACAGGUAUUGACCCUUAAGUGCGAAAGCGUGGGGACCAAACAGGAUUAAAUACCCUGGUAGUCCACGCCCUAAACGAU